Molecule: ribosomal RNA, 500 nt
Filed under: uncultured archaeon
Lineage: Archaea
Description: bacterial SSU rRNA
Rfam family: Archaeal small subunit ribosomal RNA
Source: RNAcentral
AGCAGGCGCGAAACCUUUACACUGCACGGAAGUGCGAUAGGGGAAUCCCAAGUGCGAGGGCAUAUUAGCCCUCGCUUUUCUCGACUGUAAGGUGAUCGACGAAUAAGAGCUGGGCAAGACCGGUGCCAGCCGCCGCGGUAAUACCGGCAGCUCAAGUGAUGUCCCAUAUUAUUGGGCCUAAAGCGUCCGUAGCUGGCCGACCAAGUCUCCCGGGAAAUCCACCCGCCCAACGGGUGGGCGUCCGGUAGAAACUGGCCGGCUUGGAACCGGAAGGCUCAGAGAGUACGUCCGGGGUAGGAGUGAAAUCCCGUAAUCCCGGACGGACUACCGAUGGCGAAAGCACUCUGAGAAGACGGCUUUGACAGUGAGGGACGAAAGCUCGGGUCUCAAACCGGAUUAGAUACCCGGGUAGUCCAAGCUGUAACCUAUCUCGUUAGGUGUGGCACCCACUACGAGUGGGUGCUGCGCCGUAGGAAGCCGCUAAACGAUCCGCAAUGAAA